GGCUGUCGACCGGACCCUCUAACAGUGGAGGUGUUAUGCUAAGUGGUGGGCCAAAAAUGCUAAAAACAUUUCCUUGGUGGAUUAGGCGCUGCAGUCAAACUCUGUAAACCCCUUUGGGUUUUCCUUGGAGUAGGGAGACAAAACACGGGUCUAAAACCGAGCAUAGACACCCGGGCACAAUACCUCCAUUGUUUGAGGGUCCGAUCAGCUGCUC
Molecule: microRNA precursor, 214 nt
Filed under: Gossypium raimondii (Peruvian cotton)
Lineage: Eukaryota; Viridiplantae; Streptophyta; Magnoliopsida; Malvales; Malvaceae
Description: miR8636 stem-loop (gra-MIR8636)
Source: miRBase by way of RNAcentral